GGGCGUGUAGCUCAAUGGCAGAGCAGUGGCCUUUUAAGCCAUUGGUUGUGGGUUCGAUUCCCUCCACGCUCA
RNAcentral lists this transfer RNA (72 nucleotides) under Anaerolineales bacterium. RNAcentral's name for it is "tRNA-Lys". It matches the Rfam family "tRNA". From Rfam's summary of the family: Transfer RNA (tRNA) molecules are approximately 80 nucleotides in length. Their secondary structure includes four short double-helical elements and three loops (D, anti-codon, and T loops). The record is from RNAcentral. Lineage: Bacteria; Bacillati; Chloroflexota; Anaerolineae; Anaerolineales.